Arabidopsis thaliana (thale cress) is the source of this 250-nucleotide long non-coding RNA. RefSeq annotates it as other RNA. Lineage: Eukaryota; Viridiplantae; Streptophyta; Magnoliopsida; Brassicales; Brassicaceae. The transcript has a single exon. The record is from RefSeq.
UUUCUUCUUGCCCAUUAACUUCAUUCAAAUCAUCAUUUCCUUUCAACAAACGCUCCAAAACCUUCAUCCUCGCGCUAAAAACCGGACUCAAACAAGGGAAAAUCACAUCUCCAGGCUUGUUACCAUAAGCAUCACAAGAAUCCGGAUUCGCAGAGCCCUUCAGCAGAAGAGUAACAAUCUCAAGGCUAUUGGCAGACAAGCCAGAGACCGCACAGUGAAGAGCCGUGGCACCAUCAGAGCCACAAGAGCG